This 443-nucleotide ribosomal RNA is filed under the name uncultured bacterium. Its description in RNAcentral is "partial 16S ribosomal RNA". It matches the Rfam family "Bacterial small subunit ribosomal RNA", at positions 338 to 795 of the family's 1533-position model. The record is from RNAcentral.
CCUACGGGUGACAGCAGUGGGGAAUAUUGGACAAUGGGGGGAACCCUGAUCCAGCGACGCCGCGGGAGUGAAGACGUAUUUCGGUAUGUAAAGCUCUAUCAGCAGGGAAGAAAGAAAUGACGGUACCUGACUAAGAAGCCCCGGCUAACUACGUGCCAGCAGCCGCGGUAAUACGUAGGGGGCAAGCGUUAUCCGGAUUUACUGUGUGGAAAGGGAGCGUAGACGGCGCUGCAAGUCUGAAGUGAAAGGCGGGGGCCCAACCCCCGGACUGGUUUGGACACUGUAUGGAUGGAGAGCAGGAGAGGUAAGUGGAAUUCCUAGUGUAGCGGUGAAAGGCGUAGAUAUUAGGAGGAACACCAGUGGCGAAGGCGGCUUACUGGACUGUAACUGACGUUGAGGCUCGAAAGCGUGGGGAGCAAACAGGAUUAGAUACCCCAGUAGUC